This 1154-nucleotide ribosomal RNA is filed under the name Arthrobacter sp. Its description in RNAcentral is "bacterial SSU rRNA". It matches the Rfam family "Bacterial small subunit ribosomal RNA", at positions 94 to 1280 of the family's 1533-position model. Lineage: Bacteria; Bacillati; Actinomycetota; Actinomycetes; Micrococcales; Micrococcaceae. The record is from RNAcentral.
AGUGGCGACGGGUGAGUAACACGUGAGUAACCUGCCCUUGACUCUGGGAUAAGCCUGGGAAACCGGGUCUAAUACUGGAUACGACCUUCUGGCGCAUGCCAUGUUGGUGGAAAGCUUUUGUGGUUUUGGAUGGACUCGCGGCCUAUCAGCUUGUUGGUGGGGUAAUGGCCUACCAAGGCGACGACGGGUAGCCGGCCUGAGAGGGUGACCGGCCACACUGGGACUGAGACACGGCCCAGACUCCUACGGGAGGCAGCAGUGGGGAAUAUUGCACAAUGGGCGCAAGCCUGAUGCAGCGACGCCGCGUGAGGGAUGAAGGCCUUCGGGUUGUAAACCUCUUUCAGUAGGGAAGAAGCCUGCCUUUGGGUUGGUGACGGUACCUGCAGAAGAAGCGCCGGCUAACUACGUGCCAGCAGCCGCGGUAAUACGUAGGGCGCAAGCGUUAUCCGGAAUUAUUGGGCGUAAAGAGCUCGUAGGCGGUUUGUCGCGUCUGCCGUGAAAGUCCGGGGCUUAACCCCGGAUCUGCGGUGGGUACGGGCAGACUAGAGUGCAGUAGGGGAGACUGGAAUUCCUGGUGUAGCGGUGAAAUGCGCAGAUAUCAGGAGGAACACCGAUGGCGAAGGCAGGUCUCUGGGCUGUAACUGACGCUGAGGAGCGAAAGCAUGGGGAGCGAACAGGAUUAGAUACCCUGGUAGUCCAUGCCGUAAACGUUGGGCACUAGGUGUGGGGGACAUUCCACGUUUUCCGCGCCGUAGCUAACGCAUUAAGUGCCCCGCCUGGGGAGUACGGCCGCAAGGCUAAAACUCAAAGGAAUUGACGGGGGCCCGCACAAGCGGCGGAACAUGCGGAUUAAUUCGAUGCACGCGAAAAACCUUACCAGGCUUGACUUGAACCGAAUGAUGCAAAGUUGGUCAGCACUUGGGGCCGGUUUACAGGUGGGCAUGGUUGCCCCCACUCCGUCCGGAAAAUGUUGGUUAAUUCCCGCAACGAGGCAACCCUUGUUCAUGUUGCCCGCGGUUAUCGCGGGAACUAAGGGAAAAUGCGGGGUCAUUUGGAAGAGGGGGGGACAAUUUAAAUCUUCGCCCCUUAAUCUGGGGUUCCCCCGGCCAAAUGGCGGCAAAAGGGUGGAAAUUUUGGGGGGGAAUUUCCAAAAA